AUGCAGAGGCCCAGCAAACUGCCUGCUGCCUCUCUCCCCGGACGCCCUACCUUUUUCGGACCCCAAGGUUGGGCUGACCUCCCAGAUGGCUUGCUUCACUCCAUCGUUGAUCGGCUGGGCUCCUUCCGAGACCUUCUUGGCUUCGCCACCACAUGCCCCUCAUGGCGUUCUGCCUUCUCCUCGUACCCAUCAAAAUCCACGUUCCUCACAAAAUUACCACCUCUCCUCAUCCAGACCCAUAUUCGUGCACAAGGUCCUCUUCUUCCUUGGACCAGUGGUUCUCAUGAGCUAUACCCAUGUAAGGUUGUUGAUCCAGCCAACCGAAACACCGCACUUCGCUGUUGGAUCCCUCAAGAUAUCGUGGAGAAGAUGACAUUUAUUGGAUCCUCCUAUGGUAAGCUCAUCUACUACUGCAAGGGAUACUGUCGCAUCAUCGAUGCGUUCACCGGUGACGAUGUCUCAACUCCAUGUCUCCCAUCCCAUGCUAAAUGUUCAAAACUUCACUUGACUGGCAUUCUAACAGCCCCACUUGCAUCACCCAACUCGCAUCUCCUUGUCAGUACCGAGUCCUCCCUGUUUGAUUUGCCUGUUGGAAACGACUCUUGGUCCGAACUCCAGCUUCCUUGUCAGUUUGUAAUAGACCAUUUUGUGGAGUUCGAUGGUCAGUUCAUUGUCUCGAAUAGCUAUGGCAGAUCCUACGCUCUGCAGCUGGCCCCUCAGCACGGCCUGCAGGAGAUAAAAACCAAGCCUGUGGGAGGAAGGCCGGUGGAAGGAAGGCUGGUGGUUUGUGGUGAUAUGCUUCUCAUUCUCAGUUUGGGCGAGUUCCAGCGCCUCGACAUGUCAACCGAGCCCGCGACACGGGUGACCGUGGAGAAGCUGGGCGAGCGGGCACUCUUUGUAGGGGCGGAAGCGAAGAGCACGGCAGUUUCUUGCAUGAGCCCGGAGCUAUGGGGAGGAAGGAGCGACAUCGUGUACUUUGCUCGUACAGCUCGACCUUGGUUUAUCUAUAGGCUGUGUGGCAGGCCAGAUCGCAUGCAGGAUAGACCAGCACGCGUUGAACCUGCAGGCUUUGGAAGCACCCCAGUGCAGUCAUCAGUUCGGCCGCUCUGGCUGUACCCAAGCAUGUUCUACUCGGAUGGCCAAUGA
RNAcentral lists this ribosomal RNA (1146 nucleotides) under Triticum aestivum (bread wheat). RNAcentral's name for it is "partial small subunit ribosomal RNA". The record is from RNAcentral. Lineage: Eukaryota; Viridiplantae; Streptophyta; Magnoliopsida; Poales; Poaceae.